GAUGAAGAACGUAGCGAAAUGCGAUAAGUAAUGUGAAUUGCAGAAUUCAGUGAAUCAUCGAAUCUUUGAACGCACAUUGCGCCCAUUAGUAUUCUAGUGGGCAUGCCUGUUCGAGCGUCAUUUCAACCCUUAAGCCUAGCUUAGUGUUGGGAAUCUGCUGUAUUGCAGUUCCUCAAAUACAACGGCGGAUCUGUAACAUCCUCUGAGCGUAGUAAAUUUUUAUCUCGCUUUUGUUAGGUGUUGCAGCUCUCAGCCGCUAAACCCCCCAAUUUUUGUGGUUGACCUCGGAUCAGGUAGGAGUACCCGCUGAACUUAAGCAUAUCAUAAGCGGAGGA
RNAcentral lists this unclassified non-coding RNA (335 nucleotides) under soil metagenome. RNAcentral describes it as "partial contains 5.8S ribosomal RNA, internal transcribed spacer 2, and large subunit ribosomal RNA". The stretch from base 1 to 120 matches the Rfam family "5.8S ribosomal RNA", at positions 35 to 154 of the family's 154-position model. The record is from RNAcentral.